RNAcentral lists this ribosomal RNA (523 nucleotides) under uncultured Glomus. RNAcentral's name for it is "SSU rRNA". It matches the Rfam family "Eukaryotic small subunit ribosomal RNA", at positions 567 to 1092 of the family's 1831-position model. The record is from RNAcentral. Lineage: Eukaryota; Fungi; Glomeromycota; Glomeromycetes; Glomerales; Glomeraceae.
CCAGCAGCCGCGGUAAUUCCAGCUCCAAUAGCGUAUAUUAAAGUUGUUGCNGUUAAAAAGCUCGUAGUUGAAUUUCGGGGUCAGCAGGUUGGUCGUGCCACUGGUAUGCACUGGCUUCGCUGAUUCCUCCUUUCUGAAGAACUGUAAUGUCAUUAAUUUGGUGUUGCAGGGAAACAGGACUGUACUUUGAAAAAUUAGAGUGUUUAAAGCAGGCUAACGCUUGAAUACAUUAGCAUGGAAUAAUGAAAUAGGACGUUCGAUCCUAUUUUGUUGGUUUCUUAGGAUUGACGUAAUGAUUAAUAGGGAUAGUUGGGGGCAUUAGUAUUCAAUUGUCAGAGGUGAAAUUCUUGGAUUUAUUGAAGACUAACUACUGCGAAAGCAUUUGCCAAGGAUGUUUUCAUUAAUCAAGAACGAAAGUUAGGGGGAUCGAAGACGAUCAGAUACCGUCGUAGUCUUAACCAUAAACUAUGCCGACUAGGGAUCGGAUGAUGUUAAUUUUUAAUGACUCAUUCGGCGCCUUACG